RNAcentral lists this ribosomal RNA (491 nucleotides) under uncultured bacterium. RNAcentral's name for it is "partial 16S ribosomal RNA". It matches the Rfam family "Bacterial small subunit ribosomal RNA", at positions 29 to 506 of the family's 1533-position model. The record is from RNAcentral.
AGUGAACGCUGGCGGUAGGCCUAACACAUGCCAGUCGAACGGCAGCACAGUAAGAGCUUGCUCUUACGGGUGGCGAGUGGCGGACGGGUGAGGAAUACAUCGGAAUCUACUUUUUCGUGGGGGAUAACGUAGGGAAACUUACGCUAAUACCGCAUACGACCUACGGGUGAAAGCAGGGGAUCUUCGGACCUUGCGCGAUUGAAUGAGCCGAUGUCGGAUUAGCUAGUUGGCGGGGUAAAGGCCCACCAAGGCGACGAUCCGUAGCUGGUCUGAGAGGAUGAUCAGCCACACUGGAACUGAGACACGGUCCAGACUCCUACGGGAGGCAGCAGGGGGGAAUAUUGGACAAUGGGCGCAAGCCUGAUCCAGCCAUACCGCGUGGGUGAAGAAGGCCUUCGGGUUGUAAAGCCCUUUUGUUGGGAAAGAAAAGCAGCAGGUUAAUACCCCGCUGUUCGGACGGUACCCAAAGAAUAAGCACCGGCUAACUUAGU